AGAAGAAUAGUUGAUCGGAGCAUAAUUAUGCGAUAAUAAUGUUGGUUUGCCAAAGCAAGGAAAGAAAUAUGAGCAAAAGGAAGGAGAUUUGUGCAAAUAAUGGAGAAGUGUGGAAUCUUGAUGAGUCAAGGAAGCAUACGGCAACAUGAAGAAAAAGAUAUUCAGCAAUUAAUUAUCUUGGCUGCUCUUAUUGGAUAGAAGGAUGUCAAUGAAUCCAAAAUCAAUCAGAACAUUAAUAAAGGAGCUUUCCGUGGAAGCCAAGGAAUUAGAGUCCCAAAAGGAAAGAAGGAAAGAGUUACAAACGGAAUAAAAUCUCUCCUUGGACGUUCAAGAAACCUACCAUCACACAUACGGAAGAGGAGAGACGCACAAGAGCUGAAGAAGAAGGAGGAUUGCAACCAUCACCGAAAACGAUCGAUCGCUGCCUGCCGACGAUCGAUCGCCGAUCAGCCUUUUCCUAUUUCUUGGUUUUUGUUGUCUUCUUUCUCCAUGAACUCAAUUGUGUUUUUGAUUUCCAUUAUGUGUAACUAAAUUUCCAGUAGCUAGGGGGCAGUUGAAGCCCCUAGACAUGAUCCACAACAUGCUUUGACAUUCAAUUUGUUUUCCGAUUAAUAAAGUUGAGGUUUUGUUUACCGAUUUCUCAUUGAUGAGUUCUAUGUUUGUAUGCUUUGGAGGCCUACUUAGUAUGCAUGCUAGGGUUCUAAUACUUUGAUUAUUUGAUGCCUGGAUCAAUAGUUGGAUUCCUCAAAUUGUCUAGAGAAGUAAUUGGUGGUUUUCACUAUCAAGUAGACAAAACCCUAGGUUUAGCAAGGCUCUAAGUUAUUUGCGAUGCCUAGUGAUUGCUCAAACUCUUUUCAAACUUAAUGAUCUCUGCAUGUUUAAUCUAAUAAACGUACCUUUAGGUUGCAUUGCUUGGGAAUAGUCUAGGUGUAGAGCACUUCCUGCCUAGCGUACAAAGUAAGAAAGAGUAAUAGGUUGUGUUCAAGCGUACCGAGCCAAUCUGAGCGUCUUCAACUAAGUUAAUUGGAAGUAAAUUGGACAAAGUGUGUUGUGUGUGAUUGUUGGAGGUGGAUACUUCCUUCCUAGC
Rosa rugosa (rugosa rose) is the source of this 1087-nucleotide long non-coding RNA. RefSeq lists it as uncharacterized. The record is from RefSeq and is a predicted model, not a curated record. NCBI's taxonomy places the organism in Eukaryota, Viridiplantae, Streptophyta, Magnoliopsida, Rosales, Rosaceae. The transcript has 2 exons.